This 1085-nucleotide ribosomal RNA is filed under the name Pyrenophora dematioidea. Its description in RNAcentral is "LSU rRNA". It matches the Rfam family "Eukaryotic large subunit ribosomal RNA", at positions 22 to 1126 of the family's 3401-position model. RNAcentral also lists the same sequence under 1 other name. Lineage: Eukaryota; Fungi; Ascomycota; Dothideomycetes; Pleosporales; Pleosporaceae. The record is from RNAcentral.
UACCCGCUGAACUUAAGCAUAUCAAUAAGCGGAGGAAAAGAAACCAACAGGGAUUGCCCUAGUAACGGCGAGUGAAGCGGCAACAGCUCAAAUUUGAAAUCUGGCUCUUUCAGGGUCCGAGUUGUAAUUUGCAGAGGGCGCUUUGGCUUUGGCAGCGGUCCAAGUUCCUUGGAACAGGACGUCACAGAGGGUGAGAAUCCCGUACGUGGUCGCUAGCUAUUGCCGUGUAAAGCCCCUUCGACGAGUCGAGUUGUUUGGGAAUGCAGCUCUAAAUGGGAGGUAAAUUUCUUCUAAAGCUAAAUACUGGCCAGAGACCGAUAGCGCACAAGUAGAGUGAUCGAAAGAUGAAAAGCACUUUGGAAAGAGAGUCAAACAGCACGUGAAAUUGUUGAAAGGGAAGCGCUUGCAGCCAGACUUGCUUGCAGUUGCUCAUCCGGACUUUUGUCCGGUGCACUCUUCUGCAGGCAGGCCAGCAUCAGUUUGGGCGGUGGGAUAAAGGUCUCUGUCACGUACCUCUCUUCGGGGAGGCCUUAUAGGGGAGACGACAUACCACCAGCCUGGACUGAGGUCCGCGCAUUUGCUAGGAUGCUGGCGUAAUGGCUGUAAGCGGCCCGUCUUGAAACACGGACCAAGGAGUCUAACAUCUAUGCGAGUGUUUGGGUGUCAAGCCCGAACGCGUAAUGAAAGUGAACGGAGGUGGGAACCCGCAAGGGUGCACCAUCGACCGAUCCUGAUGUCUUCGGAAGGAUUUGAGUAAGAGCAUGGCUGUUGGGACCCGAAAGAUGGUGAACUAUGCUUGAAUAGGGUGAAGCCAGAGGAAACUCUGGUGGAGGCUCGCAGCGGUUCUGACGUGCAAAUCGAUCGUCAAAUUUGGGCAUAGGGGCGAAAGACUAAUCGAACUAUCUAGUAGCUGGUUCCUGCCGAAGUUUCCCUCAGGAUAGCAGUAACGUAUUCAGUUUUAUGAGGUAAAGCGAAUGAUUAGAGGCCUGGGGGUUGAAACAACCUUCACCUAUUCUCAAACUUUAAAUAUGUAAGAAGUGUUUGUUACUUAAUUGAACGUACACAUUUGAAUGAAACGUUAUUAG